UCGUACUACAGAGGUGCAAGGGUUGUCGCUGACCUUUCCAAAAGGUCGUGCACGCCCGAGCGCUCUCAAUCCAUUUCACCCCUUGUGCAUCACCGCGCGGGGUCGCUCCCUCUUGGCUCGCUUCGAGAGGGGGAGGCUCGCGUUUUUCACACAUAAACACCCUUCUGGUUUAGAAUGUCAUUCAUUUGCGAUCACACGCAAUCAAUA
RNAcentral lists this unclassified non-coding RNA (207 nucleotides) under uncultured Russula. Its description in RNAcentral is "sequence contains ITS1". Lineage: Eukaryota; Fungi; Basidiomycota; Agaricomycetes; Russulales; Russulaceae. The record is from RNAcentral.